GACGAACGCUGGCGGCGUGCUUAACACAUGCAAGUCGAACGGAAAGGCGCUGCUUUUGUGGCGUGGUCGAGUGGCGAACGGGUGAGUAACACGUGAGUAACCUGUCCUUGACUUUGGGAUAACUUCAGGAAACUGGGGCUAAUACCGGAUAGGAGCUCCUGCUCCAUGGGGGGGGUUGGAAAGUGUCGGCGGUUGGGGAUGGACUCGCGGCUUCUCAGCUGGUUGGUGGGGUAGUGGCUUACCCAGGCUUUGACGGGUAGCAGGCCUGAGAGGGUGACCGGCCACAUUGGGCCUGAGAUACGGCCCAGACUCCUACGGGAGGCAGCAGUGCGGAAUAUUGCACAAUGGGCGGAAGCCUGAUGCUGCAACGCCGCGUGCCGUAUGACGGCCUUCGGGUUGUAAACCGCAUGCGCCUGUGACGAAGCGUGAGUGACGGUAAUGGGUAAAGAAGCACCGGCUAACUACGUG
Molecule: ribosomal RNA, 468 nt
Filed under: uncultured bacterium
Lineage: Bacteria
Description: partial 16S ribosomal RNA
Rfam family: Bacterial small subunit ribosomal RNA
Source: RNAcentral